GGCUGUAUGGUGUAAUGGUUAGCACUUUGAAUUUGAAUCCGAGUUCAAAUCUCGGUAGAACCU
Molecule: transfer RNA, 63 nt
Filed under: Lingula anatina
Lineage: Eukaryota; Metazoa; Brachiopoda; Lingulata; Lingulida; Lingulidae
Rfam family: tRNA
About the family: Transfer RNA (tRNA) molecules are approximately 80 nucleotides in length. Their secondary structure includes four short double-helical elements and three loops (D, anti-codon, and T loops).
Source: Rfam by way of RNAcentral